RNAcentral lists this transfer RNA (69 nucleotides) under Atopogale cubana (Cuban Solenodon). RNAcentral's name for it is "tRNA-Val". It matches the Rfam family "tRNA". From Rfam's summary of the family: Transfer RNA (tRNA) molecules are approximately 80 nucleotides in length. Their secondary structure includes four short double-helical elements and three loops (D, anti-codon, and T loops). Further hydrogen bonds mediate the characteristic L-shaped molecular structure. tRNAs have two regions of fundamental functional importance: the anti-codon, which is responsible for specific mRNA codon recognition, and the 3' end, to which the tRNAs corresponding amino acid is attached (by aminoacyl-tRNA synthetases). tRNAs cope with the degeneracy of the genetic code in two manners: having more than one tRNA (with a specific anti-codon) for a particular amino acid; and 'wobble' base-pairing, i.e. permitting non-standard base-pairing at the 3rd anti-codon position. Lineage: Eukaryota; Metazoa; Chordata; Mammalia; Eulipotyphla; Solenodontidae. The record is from RNAcentral.
CAAAGCGUAGCUUAAUACUAAAGCACCUGACCUACACUCAGGAGACUUCCUUUUAGGAACACUUUAAGC